This is a long non-coding RNA of Aethalodelphis obliquidens (Pacific white-sided dolphin), 648 nucleotides long. RefSeq lists it as uncharacterized. Lineage: Eukaryota; Metazoa; Chordata; Mammalia; Artiodactyla; Delphinidae. The transcript has 3 exons. The record is from RefSeq and is a predicted model, not a curated record.
CUUCGAAAGUCUUUUAUCUGAAAGAUGAAAAAAAAUCAGUCAUCAGAUGUUAAAAGAUGGGGAAAAGAGCCAAAGCAAUGAGAGACGUACCCCGUUGCUGACCGACUGAUACAUCAUUGCUGUGGAUACCGGGCGAAGGAAGACCAACAAAAGCUGUGGAGGAGUUCAGUCAACAUGGCAGAGAAGAAGGACCUUGAGCUCACCUCCCCUCACAAGCACACCAAAACCACAACUAAGUGCAAAACCACCAUGGACGAAAAGAUCAGAACCUACCAGAAAAGAUCUUCUACAACAAAAGACGUAAAGGAGGAACCAGAAGGAGACGGGACUUGAAAAGCUAUUCUCAUUCUUUCUGCCACUGAGCUGCAGUCCAGGAAGAGAGCAACAGUAAGCAAAGGAGUUGGUGAGAGGCGAGAAAAGUGUGGCAACAGUGGAGACCCUGCCAUCCUGUUUAGAUGGUACAGUACGAGCUCCGUGUCACACAAAAUGGUAAGAGCACCACAUACAUGCGUUCUCUCCACCCCGGUGGUCAGAUUUAUGGUCACCGUUUGUCAAAUUAAAAAGGAGAAUAUUUAAAUGAUCUUUAUUUAAUGGUGGCUGACAUCUUAUUCUUUCUUUUAUCCCAGUCAUAGCUUGAAAUGUUUUAAC